Molecule: ribosomal RNA, 405 nt
Filed under: uncultured prokaryote
Description: bacterial SSU rRNA
Rfam family: Bacterial small subunit ribosomal RNA
Source: RNAcentral
UGGGGGAUAUUGCACAAUGGGCGAAAGCCUGAUGCAGCAACGCCGCGUGAGGGAAGACGGUUUUCGGAUUGUAAACCUCUGUCUUCGGUGAAGAAACAAAUGACGGUAGCCGAGGAGGAAGCCACGGCUAACUACGUGCCAGCAGCCGCGGUAAUACGUAGGUGGCAAGCGUUGUCCGGAAUUACUGGGUGUAAAGGGAGCGCAGGCGGGGAGACAAGUCAGCUGUGAAAACUAUGGGCGUAACCCAUAAACUGCAGUUGAAACUGUUUUGCUUGAGGGGAGUAGAGGUAGGCGGAAUUCCGGGUGUAGCGGUGAAAUGCGUAGAUAUUCGGAGGAACACCAGUGGCGAAGGCGGCCUACUGGGCUCUAACUGACGCUGAGGCUCGAAAGUGUGGGGAGCAAACA